UAAGGAAUAUUGGUCAAUGGACGCAAGUCUGAACCAGCCAUGCCGCGUGAAGGAAGACGGCCCUACGGGUUGUAAACUUCUUUUGUACGGGAAAAAAUCUCCGGUCGUGUAUCGGAGCUGAUGGUACCGUAAGAAUAAGCAUCGGCUAACUCCGUGCCAGCAGCCGCGGUAAUACGGAGGAUGCAAGCGUUAUCCGGAUUCAUUGGGUUUAAAGGGUGCGCAGGCGGAAUGAUAAGUCAGUGGUGAAAUCCUACGGCUCAACUGUAGAACUGCCAUUGAUACUGUCGUUCUUGAGUACACUUGGAGUGGGCUGAAUGUGUCAUGUAGCGGUGAAAUGCUUAGAUAUGACACAGAACACCAAUCGCGAAGGCAGCUUACCAAGCAAUAACUGACGCUCAUGCACGAAAGCGUGGGGAUCAAACA
RNAcentral lists this ribosomal RNA (423 nucleotides) under uncultured prokaryote. Its description in RNAcentral is "bacterial SSU rRNA". It matches the Rfam family "Bacterial small subunit ribosomal RNA", at positions 355 to 774 of the family's 1533-position model. The record is from RNAcentral.